CCUUCUGUCACAGAAGAGGCGUACUACGCAAAGAGUAAGGGUGUGAACUGGAAGCUGGGAGAGCUGGCUUGAUUCCCUUCACCGGCCAUCACUGGAGUGCGUCACUUGAUAUCAAGGAUUUCCGUUUAUCAACUACGAAGUGAUGUCCCUUAGGUUGAUACAGCUAUGGAGAUUAUAGCUUUCAAAGUGUUUGAGAGGAACCAUAUUUUAUAAAUUCAACAUUGCUGACUGCUGAAGGCACUAUCUUCAUGCUAUAUUUUGCCAUGUGGCUGAAGGUCUUGUGAAGGUGGUCUUCAGAGUAUCUGCGUAUUAUCUUUGGCGAUGGUAUCAAAGGCUGCUUCAGGUUGAAGUAGGGUAGCAAUUUUCCUCAGCCCCUGAUGCAUCUGGCUCACGUGGGAUCUAUUCCAACAGCAUGAUAACCACAAUAAUCAAGGUCUGCAGAGAGGCUGUAAAAGCACAGAGGACAGCUCCCAACUUAAGCUGUGGGAAUCUUUCUAAAACACAAGGUGUGGCUGAAGCUGAGGCCGUAUGGAGAGAUGGUGGGAGAUGAGGCUAAUACGGUGCAGGGACCAGACCAGAAAAGGCCAGCUUUGGCUAUUAUUCUGAUACGCAGCAAUCCAGACAUUACAGAACAGAUGUGCUGUGUAGAGGAGAGACCUACACAGCUCUCCUGUGUUAGAUAGUCCUCAAUUGUGUGACCUUGGGACUAAGACUGAAGCUAGAAGAUACCAAAAAAUUCAUCAACUGAGUUGGAAAAACAUUAGUCAGACUCUUG
Molecule: long non-coding RNA, 775 nt
Filed under: Homo sapiens (human)
Lineage: Eukaryota; Metazoa; Chordata; Mammalia; Primates; Hominidae
Description: HSALNT0021883
Source: RNAcentral